AGCGUUGCACAGUGGCGGUAUCGUAGCCAAUGAGGUUUAUCCGAGGCGCAAUGAUUGCUAAGUGAAAACUUUUCCCAAUGCCCCGCCGUGACGACCUGCAAUACAGUUGACACUGGCUAUUUUUGACAGUCUCUACGAAGG
Molecule: small nuclear RNA, 141 nt
Organism: Saimiri boliviensis boliviensis (Bolivian squirrel monkey)
Lineage: Eukaryota; Metazoa; Chordata; Mammalia; Primates; Cebidae
Gene: U4
Rfam family: U4 spliceosomal RNA
About the family: U4 small nuclear RNA (U4 snRNA) is a component of the major U2-dependent spliceosome.
Source: Ensembl